Molecule: ribosomal RNA, 484 nt
Filed under: uncultured bacterium
Lineage: Bacteria
Description: partial 16S ribosomal RNA
Rfam family: Bacterial small subunit ribosomal RNA
Source: RNAcentral
AUUGAACGCUGGCGGAAUGCUUUACACAUGCAAGUCGAACGGCAGCACGGGGGCAACCCUGGUGGCGAGUGGCGAACGGGUGAGUAAUACAUCGGAACGUGCCCGGUCGUGGGGGAUAACGUAGCGAAAGUUACGCUAAUACCGCAUACGAUCUGAGGAUGAAAGCGGGGGACCUUCGGGCCUCGCGCGAUCGGAGCGGCCGAUGUCAGAUUAGGUAGUUGGUGGGGUAAAGGCCUACCAAGCCGACGAUCUGUAGCUGGUCUGAGAGGACGACCAGCCACACUGGAACUGAGACACGGCCCAGACCCCUACGGGAGGCAGCAGUGGGGAAUUUUGGACAAUGGGCGCAAGCCUGAUCCAGCCAUUCCGCGUGCAGGACGAAGGCCUUCGGGUCGUAAACUGCUUUUGUAUGGAACGAAAAGGCUCUGGCUAAUACCUGGGGCUCAUGACGGUACCGUAAGAAUAAGCACCGGCUAACUACGUG